This is a long non-coding RNA of Medicago truncatula (barrel medic), 1680 nucleotides long. RefSeq lists it as uncharacterized. The record is from RefSeq and is a predicted model, not a curated record. The transcript has 3 exons. NCBI's taxonomy places the organism in Eukaryota, Viridiplantae, Streptophyta, Magnoliopsida, Fabales, Fabaceae.
ACAUGUUCAGUUCAUGUUUAUGUUUAUAUGACUCAUGUUCAACCCUGAAAAUGUGUGAUAUUUCGUAAUUUAUAAAUAAGUUCAUUCCGCACCUUUUCGUCGGCGUGGGACUAAUUUUGGUUUCUCUUUUCCUGCUUUGUAAAAACGUAAAAGAAUAAUUCAGCAGUAGGAAGCUACUGAUAAAAGCAAUUAACCUUCAAUUCAUAUUACUCAAAGGGCUUUUUAUUUGUCUUCGCUGCUUUGCAAUGAUUGAGAUUAGAUUCAUGCCAAAUUCGUUUUACUGAUGAUGUUCAACUUUGCGAUUUGGGGUUUGCUUCGUUGACCUGGGUUUUCUUCAUAGAUCUCAGGAUUUGAUGAAAAAACUUGGAUGAACCUACUGCUGGGAGCGUAGAUAGGAUAGAUGAACCUCCUGCUGCGAGCGUACAUGGGAUAGGUUGUUUGGUGCAAGACAUUGUAGUUAUGAGUGAUGGUGGUGACGUUGAUGCUCAGAUAAACGUGAUGUUACGGUUUCUAAGCGUCCCAUCGAUGGUGAUAAGGUCGCAAAAGAUGGUUCAUCCAAAGCACUCGAGUUGAUUAAGCGUAUUAAGACCGAGAAGCCUUGAUUUUUUAAUCAUAUUCAGAUUCGAACUUUAUGUCUUUGUCCAUUUGAUGUUGGACCGUCUUUAGUUGUAAAAAGGUAUACACCUUUAUUUUAAUUUAUAGGUAUAUCUUCCUUUAUUUUGUGUACAAACAUUCGAUGUGGGGCAUUUAGCAAUGUUUGAUGAUGUUGCAAUGUUAGUAGUAUUAGUUUUACUCUCUUUCCCAUUACCUUUGAUUUCUAACUUCCUCAAUUAACUGUGAUCUCGGAGCACAACACACGGUUAUCCAGAACAGUCAGGGUCGGAGAUUGAUCCUCGUAUGCUGAAGAAAAGAGCGGAGGAAUCUGAGUAGGGAAAGUUCCAUGAUACGGAUUGAGUUUUGCAAUGUGUAAUACCGAGUGAAUCCAAGCAUCCGACGGGGCCAAGGGUGCGCAUGACCUGCUAAAAGUAUUAAAGUAUGAUUCCUUUCUCUUGCUUAAGAAAAUAUCGUUAGACUUUAUUCCAGCAAGAUGAUAUGAGGUAGAUUAUGCUCAGAAGAGUAUUAAUUUUGAGAGCAUUAUUUAGCUACUACAGUUCUCGGUAUCAUAUGAUACGAUUCAAAAAGGUGAUAUAUCAUGUAUGAGGUUUCAACAUAUGCCCUUCCUCCAGAUGAUCCAAAUCAUUUUAUGCAACAUUUUUGUUGUAUUAUAUGGCUUCAGUUUAGAUCCUUACUGCGAAAAAGCAACACAAUGGUGAUACACAUUGCUGAGAUAUACCUCAGUGAAACGAAACCUCGGAAAAAUCAAAAGCUCAAUCAGCACGAACAUGACCAAACAAUGGAGAAGCAGAUGAAAUCUCAGCAAGAUCACUUUGAAUGCAGAAUGAAUUGAGAAAAUACUCAUGAUAUUGCAAACCCUUUGGUUAGAGUACGAAACCUACUCGUUUUGCUUUCAAAAUCAAAAUAAAUAUUACUGACAUGAACAAUAAGCAAAGAACUCAUUGUUGUGGUUGAUGGUGGGUUUUACAAGUGAUUGCAUUUUUAAAUAAAUGUCUUGUAAAAAAGCCCAACAUGAUGCACCACAAUGACUAUUUAUAAUUAAACCAACUUAAUUUUUUUUUUUAA